Molecule: ribosomal RNA, 449 nt
Filed under: uncultured organism
Description: partial 16S ribosomal RNA
Rfam family: Bacterial small subunit ribosomal RNA
Source: RNAcentral
CGUACACUCCUACGGGAGGCAGCAGUGGGGAAUAUUGGACAAUGGGCGCAAGCCUGAUCCAGCCAUGCCGCGUGAGUGAUGAAGGCCCUAGGGUUGUAAAGCUCUUUCACCGGUGAAGAUAAUGACGGUAACCGGAGAAGAAGCCCCGGCUAACUUCGUGCCAGCAGCCGCGGUAAUACGAAGGGGGCUAGCGUUGUUCGGAUUUACUGGGCGUAAAGCGCACGUAGGCGGACUAUUAAGUCAGGGGUGAAAUCCCGGGGCUCAACCCCGGAACUGCCUUUGAUACUGGUAGUCUUGAGUUCGAGAGAGGUGAGUGGAAUUCCGAGUGUAGAGGUGAAAUUCGUAGAUAUUCGGAGGAACACCAGUGGCGAAGGCGGCUCACUGGCUCGAUACUGACGCUGAGGUGCGAAAGCGUGGGGAGCAAACAGGAUUAGAAACCCGGGUAGUCC